RNAcentral lists this ribosomal RNA (316 nucleotides) under Ruminococcus flavefaciens. RNAcentral describes it as "bacterial SSU rRNA". It matches the Rfam family "Bacterial small subunit ribosomal RNA", at positions 28 to 339 of the family's 1533-position model. The record is from RNAcentral. Lineage: Bacteria; Bacillati; Bacillota; Clostridia; Eubacteriales; Oscillospiraceae.
GACGAACGCUGGCGGCACGCUUAACACAUGCAAGUCGAACGGAGAUUAUUUGAGUUUACUUAGGUAAUCUUAGUGGCGGACGGGUGAGUAACACGUGAGCAACCUACCUUUGAGAGAGGGAUAGCUUCUGGAAACGGAUGGUAAUACCUCAUAACAUAAUGGUACCGCAUGAUACUAUUAUCAAAGAUUUAUCACUCAAAGAUGGGCUCGCGUCUGAUUAGAUAGUUGGUGAGGUAACGGCUCACCAAGUCGACGAUCAGUAGCCGGACUGAGAGGUUGAACGGCCACAUUGGGACUGAGACACGGCCCAGACUCC